This is a long non-coding RNA of Oreochromis aureus, 853 nucleotides long. RefSeq lists it as uncharacterized. Lineage: Eukaryota; Metazoa; Chordata; Actinopteri; Cichliformes; Cichlidae. The record is from RefSeq and is a predicted model, not a curated record. The transcript has 4 exons.
UGCAGGAGACAAGUCCAUUUCUGAGUUACUCAGAGAACUUGCUAACCGCUUAGAUUGUACGUCUUCACCUCAGUCUGAGAGAGUAUUGCAGCAGCGUACUGGAGAUGAAGCGGUCCCUGGUCCAAGUUCUCAUCACAACCGCACAGUGUUAACGUUAGCAAAUGCUAAUGCUAUCACAGCUAGCUCCACUCCACGAAACGCUGUUCAGUGUCAUAACAUGAACAAGUCGUCAAGUCAAGCAGCUGAGGAAAGGGCUUAAGGAGACCAUGGUAUGGCCCCUUCUGACAGAAAGAUCAGACAUCAUUCCUCUUUUCUUACCAAGGGAAUCAGAGACUGCUCCCUGUUGUGAGAUGCUCUUAAGACUACAAGAUAAGUAAAGCUAUAAAAUGACUGUAGCCUGCCACAGAAGAGGAAGAAGAGGAAUGCUCUCGAGGAUAAAUGCAGAGUGGCAGGUUACCUUCGGUCCUUCAUUGGAAAUGCAUCUUGUGCACAACGAAAAGCCCUCAUCAAGUUUUGGACAGGAUGGGAAGUCUUGCCGAGAGAAAUGACUGUGGAAGUGGUCAACAGCAGUCUUCCACCUGUUUUGACGUACUACGUCUUCCUGCACACUACUGUACCUAUGAGUCAUUUCUAAUGGACAUUCCGGUGUGUCUCAACUCUACUGACUCAGGUUUUGGUCUGGUUUAGGAUUGAUUCUAUAACCACAUGGUAAGAUUAGACCAUUUCUUCUUUCUUGCAUCACAUUACUGUAUUCAGUGUUCAAAGAAACGGACAAUCUAGUGAGUUCUAGUUCCUUUUAAUACACUUGACAGUGAAAAAUGCACAGUACAGGUGAGCAUUUAUGGCUUUUUUU